This 492-nucleotide ribosomal RNA is filed under the name uncultured bacterium. Its description in RNAcentral is "partial 16S ribosomal RNA". It matches the Rfam family "Bacterial small subunit ribosomal RNA", at positions 29 to 507 of the family's 1533-position model. The record is from RNAcentral.
AGUGAACGCUGGCGGUAGGCCUAACACAUGCAAGUCGAACGGCAGCACAGUAAGAGCUUGCUCUUACGGGUGGCGAGUGGCGGACGGGUGAGGAAUACAUCGGAAUUUACUUUUUCGUGGGGGAUAACGUAGGGAAACUUACGCUAAUACCGCAUACGACCUACGGGUGAAAGCAGGGGAUCUUCGGACCUUGCGCGAUUGAAUGAGCCGAUGUCGGAUUAGCUAGUUGGCGGGGUAAAGGCCCACCAAGGCGACGAUCCGUAGCUGGUCUGAGAGGAGGAUCAACCACACUGGAACUGAGACACGGUCCAGACUCCUACGAGAGGCAACAGUGGGGAAUAUUAGACAAUGGGCGCAAGCCUGAUCCAGCCAUACCGCGUGGGAGAAGAAGGCCUUCGGGUUGUAAAGCCCUUUUGUUGGGAAAGAAAAGCAGCAGGUUAAUACCCCGCUGUUCUGACAGUACCCAAAGAAUAAGCACCGGCUAACUUCGUG